CUUUCAACAACGGAUCUCUAGGCUCUUGCAUCGAUGAAGAACGCAGUGAAAUGCGAUAAGUAAUGUGAAUUGCAGAAUCUCGUGAAUCAUUGAAUCUUUGAACGCACAUUGCGCCCUAUGGUAUUCCGUAGGGCAUGCCUGUCUGAGCGUCA
Molecule: ribosomal RNA, 152 nt
Filed under: Pezizales sp. P10
Lineage: Eukaryota; Fungi; Ascomycota; Pezizomycetes; Pezizales
Description: 5.8S ribosomal RNA
Rfam family: 5.8S ribosomal RNA
About the family: 5.8S ribosomal RNA (5.8S rRNA) is a component of the large subunit of the eukaryotic ribosome. It is transcribed by RNA polymerase I as part of the 45S precursor that also contains 18S and 28S rRNA.
Source: RNAcentral